GGGCCCGUAGCCCAGCCAGGACAAGGCGCCGGCCUCCGGAGCCGGAGAACCCGGGUUCAAAUCCCGGCGGGCCCG
Molecule: transfer RNA, 75 nt
Filed under: Desulfurococcus sp.
Lineage: Archaea; Thermoproteati; Thermoproteota; Thermoprotei; Desulfurococcales; Desulfurococcaceae
Rfam family: tRNA
About the family: Transfer RNA (tRNA) molecules are approximately 80 nucleotides in length. Their secondary structure includes four short double-helical elements and three loops (D, anti-codon, and T loops).
Source: Rfam by way of RNAcentral